Molecule: long non-coding RNA, 341 nt
Organism: Ceratina calcarata
Lineage: Eukaryota; Metazoa; Arthropoda; Insecta; Hymenoptera; Apidae
Exons: 2
Source: RefSeq, a predicted model, not a curated record
CAACAUCCUGGUGGCCGGUGAAAAAAUUUAUAUUUAUUUACUAUUUAAUCGCUGUUUUCGCAUUAGAAAUGUGUUUCACGCAGACCGCGGAUUUUUAUGCAAGUUCAACUUUGUCGGACGCAGGAUCGAAGAAUGGAAUUUACAUGUACGAGAAUGACGAAGGAAUUUUAUCAUUUAGGUGAGGCUAACACUAGGUCUAAUCAGGUUACAUCGAAUCAGACGUGUGAAAGAGUUCGACCGGUUCGACAGCGAGGAGCGUGAAUUCAAGAACGAUGGUAAUCUCAAACUUUUCUUAGCCAUGGGGUCGCUACACAAAUAAAUUAUUGUCGUUCCAAUCGUUA